Molecule: long non-coding RNA, 1445 nt
Filed under: Chrysemys picta bellii (western painted turtle)
Lineage: Eukaryota; Metazoa; Chordata; Testudines; Emydidae
Description: lncRNA (ENSCPBG00000020914.1)
Source: RNAcentral
UAUUAUAGAAACACUCUGGGGCUUCUAGGAGCUGCUCUUCUACAAAUAGUGUUCACUGAGACUAUUAAACUGAGACUUGAUUCCGCAACCCUUAUCCCCAAUGAAUACUACUAUGCUUGGCCCUUGGAAAGAAAAUAUUCUGGAGUUACAAAUCGUUCCCAAGAAGUCCUUUCCCUGUGUGGAAAACUAUUGUAUGCACCUUGUGAUGGGUGCGGCCCUUGGGACAAAAGAAGAACUAACUUGGCACUUCAUUCAGAACUCAAAAGUGGAACAGAACUUUUUUCUGAGGAUUAUAAAAAGCCUGAAUACUACAAAUCUUCACUGUUUUUCAAUGCUGCUUGCCUCAUACUUUGGGUUUUUGAUUGGAACAGGAAGAGAAAAAUCCAAAAUAAUGAAUGAGUCUGUUUUCAGAGUAUCUCCAAGUUCUUAUGAGCAUUCAAGUUAGAUUGCACCUCACAAUGAAGCUUCUGACCUUUGUUAUUUGAAUAUUCUAAUAACACUAAGAGGCCUCAACUGAGAUCAGGGUUCCAUUGUGAAAAGUGCUAAGCAAACUCAGAAUAAGACAGUCCCUGCCCCAAAGACAACAAAUAAUUCUCUAACUGUCACUGCUGGAGAACUUAGAGAGACUAAGAUUUACCCAACAUUGCAUAAGGAGUCUGUGGAAGAGCCAAGAAUUGAACCCAGCCCUUCAAAAUCCCAGUCUAGUGCCUUGAGCACAAGAUCAACUUUCCUCCUAAAGAAGAAAGUGAGAUUUACUCCAGCACUAUAUCGAACACGAAAUGCAAACUGAAAGCCAAAAAAAAGAGCAACCUUGUGCUGUUUUAGAUAUAACUGGGCCCAACUUUUUCUACAGUGUAGUUAGAGACCUACAAGAUUUCCAGUUCAUUGUGGAGAAUCAUAUGAGGGUUUUUUUGUUUUGUUUUUGCCUGUAAAAGUCCUUGGCUUUGGUCUGAAGUUUAUACACUGUGCAAUUCACGUCACAAAAAAAGCCACCAAAAUGACUAGCAAUCGCUGCUUCUUGUCGGCUGACUUAGCAGAAAAUCAAAAACUUGAAUGGACUGUGAAGACUGAAGUACCUAUGAGGAUGGUCUAUUCUGGUCAGCUUUGAACUACGUUGUACCUGUUCUGUAGAUAAACAGAGGACUUUAGUUUCUAGGGUUGUUAGUUCAGUACCUUUCAUCGGCACUAUGAACAUAAGAAAAUAACUCGCACUCUGUACAUGCAGGACAUUUCUCACGUGCAUCCAAAAUCCAAUACUCGUCAUGAAUCAGCUGUCACUCCUGGAUCAGACUCCCCUUUGUGAUAAAAACUGGGGGGCCUGGUUCUCUAUAGCCCUGCACCUUGUGUAGUCAUGUGUACAGGGCAAAGUGAGUCGAAUGUGCUACCACACUGAAGUCAUAGCAUUUUACACCUACUUUGCGCUGGUGUUAAUAGCUAUAUAAAGU